AACGAACGCUGGCGGCAUGCCUAACACAUGCAAGUCGAACGAGACCUUCGGGUCUAGUGGCGCACGGGUGCGUAACGCGUGGGAACCUGCCCUUAGGUUCGGAAUAACUCCCCGAAAGGGGUGCUAAUACCGGAUAAUGUCUUCGGACCAAAGAUUUAUCGCCUCUGGAUGGGCCCGCGUUGGAUUAGCUAGUUGGUAGGGUAAAAGCCUACCAAGGCGACGAUCCAUAGAUGGUCUGAGAGGAUGAUCAGCCACACUGGGACUGAGACACGGCCCAGACUACUACGGGAGGCAGCAGUGGGGAAUAUUGGACAAUGGGCGAAAGCCUGAUCCAGCAAUGCCGCGUGAGUGAUGAAGGCCUUAGGGUUGGAAAGCUCUUUUACCCGGGAUGAUAAUGACAGUACCGGGAGAAUAAGCUCCGGCUAACUCCGUG
This 433-nucleotide ribosomal RNA is filed under the name uncultured bacterium. RNAcentral describes it as "partial 16S ribosomal RNA". It matches the Rfam family "Bacterial small subunit ribosomal RNA", at positions 29 to 507 of the family's 1533-position model. The record is from RNAcentral.